RNAcentral lists this ribosomal RNA (117 nucleotides) under Danio rerio (zebrafish). The record is from RNAcentral. Lineage: Eukaryota; Metazoa; Chordata; Actinopteri; Cypriniformes; Danionidae.
AGCCACAGCCAUGUCACCCUGCAGCCCAAGACCGGUUACUCACUGAAGCUAAGCAGGGCUGAGCCUGGUUAGUACCUGGAUGGGAGACCGCAAGGGAACACUAGGUUGCUGUUGGAA